This is a non-coding RNA of Cricetulus griseus (Chinese hamster), 2470 nucleotides long. The record is from RefSeq and is a predicted model, not a curated record. Lineage: Eukaryota; Metazoa; Chordata; Mammalia; Rodentia; Cricetidae.
CAACAGUCCACACCAUAAGAAUCAACCUGACAGCAAACUUUGAAUCUAGUUGAGACAGUCCCAAUUCAUUAGUAGUCCUUUUGAGUUUCCAUUGUGCUAAGUAGUGUGUUCUAUAAGGAACAUUUUUGCCUGGCAGAGGUUGAAGAAAAGCCGAAUUUAAAAGGCUACUAUAAUUAGAACUUUUGCUAAUGGCACUUAAACUGAUUAAUGUCCAAUAGUACCCACUCCACUGAAGCAUAUUUUUUAGGCAGUUAUACGUUUAUAUUAAAUUAAACCUUCAUUAAAUGAAUGAGCUUGUGGGGUAGUAUCUCUAUGUAGCUCUUGGAGUUAAUUCUGUGAUGAUAUGGCCACCAACAUGGAGGGCCUUUUCUCUUGCCAUUUCCUUAUGCCGGAAAUGUUCUUUCCAUUUAUCUCCUAUGGCUGGCUUUUGUGUUUCAGUGUAGUCCUCCUUGGCCACUCUCCCCAUCCACUCUCUCCAUACCAGCUGGGGGCAACUUUUCUGUUGUACGUGUCAUUAGUUGGAAUACUGCUGCAAAUUUACAAGCAAGCUGUUGCUAUAUCCCUUACUGAAGUCAAAGCCCCACAAAGGCAGGUACCUUGCCUAUGUUAUUCACUCUUUGUAUUAUUGUUAUAUUUUUAAAUAAAGCAUAACAAGUUACCACAAACCCAGCAGUUUAAAACAAUACACACUUCCAGGCUGGGCAGAUGGCUCAGCAGUUAAGAGCGCAGUAUCAUUUUUGCAGAGGGUCUGUGGUUGGUUCCCAGUACCCUGUCCUAUGGCUCACAUGGUUCCCAGUACCCUGUCCGUGACUCACAAUUGCUUUUAACUCUAGCUAACUAGGAUCUGACAACAAUAACCUCCACAGGCACCUGCACUCACAUUGACUCACCAUACCCCUCCCCAACACAUUGCUAGAAACCUUUAAAAUACUGUUUCAGUUCAUUUUCAAAUGGAAUUCAGGCUUUCACCAGACAGAAAUCAAGGUGUGGGACAGACUCCCAUCUCCUCUUUGAUAGAGCCUUCUAAUAGCCUUUACAGUCUCUUAUGGGUGUGGCACUGAGGUUUGGUGCUAGCUUCGCCAUGGGUGGAGCUCAGUGCUCUUAGCUCCCAGAGACUCCCAGCAGUUUUAUACACGAGACUUGCUCACAACACAGUUGUUUGUUUCUUUUCAAUUGGAAGAAUCUUUGAUCUCUUUGAAUCCUGGGUUAAAGCAUUCGUCUGGUUAGGUCAGGAUCACCCAGGAUAAUCUUCUGAUGAAAUUAAAAUUAGCUGAGUGAAGUGUUGGUUGUCCAUAUACAAUCUUUUCAGCAUCGAUUCAUAAUGAACAGAAUCGUAGGAGCCACAAGCUAUCGAAGUCACAAGUGAUUACACGCAAGGGAAGGUAAUGUAUAGGGAAUGAGUACCAAUGUGAGCAUCCUGGAGUCUGCAUUUAAUUUGUCUACAGAUUGUUAAUAUCUCUGAGACCAACUGGCACUUAAUAGAUAAAUGUCAGUAAAAUAAGAAUUGAGGAAGUGGUGAGAAAAGCAAAUUAUUUCAAUGUUAUAUGAUUAUGUGUUCAGAUAGAUGUAUGUUGAUCAUCCUACAAUUGAAUUCAAAAUAGUCCAGUGGUUGGAUUGCCCACUCAAUUCAUUGUCCUCACUGAGGGAUUUGUGGCUACUAGAUGAUGUCAAUGGGAAUUUGGAAAUAUUUGUUGUGUCAUUUAGACAAAACUUUUGCAGCAUAAUCUUGGUAAUUAUUCUGUCCCACAGACCAUGUAGAUGAAAGUGUUAAGCCCAAGGUUGCUACAGUGGUGUGUAGGCAGAAGUCCAUCUCUUCCUUCUAGCUUUGUGGGUUUAUUUCACACCGAAUGAUACUGGAACACUACCCAGGACUCUGUCUUGACUCCCCUGCAGUCUUCUACUUCCUCUUCAAUGACGGCAGAUCCCCAAACACUUAGUGACAUAUGGCAGCCUCUCUGUGAAGUGUGCUGAAUGCCAUGCAUUAGCUUUCUGGCUCUGGAGUGCUGCAUUUCAUUUUGGGCAUCAUACUUCUUAAAGGGAUAUUGACAAAGUGGGACCCAGCCUCUGGAAACCUGCUCUGGAAGAGGUAGUUAGAAAAAGAUAAUUACCCUAUUCUCCGCGUAACUAGUACUUCCGCAGAAGAGGGCCAAAGGGAUGGGGAUGUUUCAGGGCCAAAGGGAUGGGGAUGUUUCAGCAGAACUUCCUAAGAACCACUGAAAGAAACUGGAGGCAUUCAGCCUAGAAAGUUCCUAUCAGCAGACCUAGAGACAAUAUGUGGGAUUUAAAGGUAAACAGGCUUUUAUUUUAUAUAAGGAAUAUGGUUCUGCUGAACACAGCUGUGUCAUGAUGAAACAUAUGUAUGCAAGAAAAACCAGCAAGCUCUUGUAGAUUGAGGAACUCCUGCACAGGGCAUGGUAUACCUCUCUCUCACUCCAAUGUGCAGCCUGGGAAUCACUCGAGGCCAGAUGCA